RNAcentral lists this ribosomal RNA (253 nucleotides) under uncultured bacterium. RNAcentral describes it as "partial 16S ribosomal RNA". It matches the Rfam family "Bacterial small subunit ribosomal RNA", at positions 524 to 776 of the family's 1533-position model. The record is from RNAcentral.
UACGUAGGGUGCAGGCGUUAAUCGGAAUUACUGGGCGUAAAGCGUGCGCAGGCGGUCUCUUAAGACAGGUGUGAAAGCCCCGGGCUCAACCUGGGAAUGGCAUUGGAAACUGGCGGACUCGAGUGUGGCAGAGGGGGGUGGAAUUCCGCGUGUAGCAGUGAAAUGCGUAGAGAUGCGGAGGAACACCGAUGGCGAAGGCAACCCCCUGGGCUAACACUGACGCUCAGGCACGAAAGCGUGGGGAGCAAACAGG